CUUCCUUCUUGUCAUCCACUAGCAUUUAAAAGACUUCUGGGGGAGAUACAGUGAACUGAAGACGGCUAGGCGAAAGCAGAGCCAAUCACCAUUGCAAAAUACAAAGAUUCCUAUAUACUCCAGACUGCCUACAUGUGCUCCAGAUGCUUUCUAUGAGGAGACCACAGGAUUUACAAAAGAGUCUUGUUAAAGCCUUGAAGAAUAUUUGAAUGAACUAAAUAUUAGAGAUCGUUAGAAGGAAAG
This is a long non-coding RNA of Pantherophis guttatus, 243 nucleotides long. RefSeq lists it as uncharacterized. NCBI's taxonomy places the organism in Eukaryota, Metazoa, Chordata, Lepidosauria, Squamata, Colubridae. The record is from RefSeq and is a predicted model, not a curated record.